Molecule: long non-coding RNA, 1705 nt
Organism: Homo sapiens (human)
Lineage: Eukaryota; Metazoa; Chordata; Mammalia; Primates; Hominidae
Source: Ensembl
CCCCGUUCCCGUGUCUGUAAAUCAGAGAUGGUACCCACUUCGUAGUUCGCUGUGAAGCCUGUGAGCGAGGAGGGGCUUUAAAAUACAGAACUUUGCACUGGAGCGCUCCCCGUCCUCGCAGCCUGCUUGGUGUGCAGGUGGUUCCCAGGCGGCUUCUGCUUCCGAAAAGCAGAUCGUCCCUUUAUCUCGAGUCUUCUCCCCGCCUCUCCCUCUUCUCCCUACCCUAUUUGUCUUCUUGGGAACAAAUGGCACAUUCAUCAGAGUGGAGAUCCAUAAACGGGACUGGCGAGCCGAAGAUUUAAUUCUGAAGAAUAGGAUCUGCUCUGUGCUUUCAGGUUAAAAAGCUGUAAAUAUCUUUGUAAUUCUAGCAGUACUUUGCCCUCUUCUGCCAUCUGAACGCGUGCUCCCUGCUGACCUCAUCGGCUCCCAUAAAGAUACGAGAUAGGGUUUCGCCAUGUUGCCCAGGCUGGUCUGGAACUCCUGUAUUCAAGCCAUCCGCCCGCCUCGGCCUCUCGAAGGGCUGGGAUUACAGGCGUGCGCCACUGCGCCCUGCCCCUUAACAGAUUUUUGUUAGUGGGAAUACGUAGUUCCCCGCGCUUCAAGAAAAUAGAGUCUUCCGCGAGAGGCCGAGAUAUGAACAACCCUUCACGUUAGGAAUCUGAAAAGGACCAUUGGGGUCUGGAGUAAAAAAUUCUCUUUCCACAGCAGGAAUCAAGGGUGGCCUGUCUGCCUCUGCUCAGAGGGUUCCUGUUACAGGAUAAUUGUUUUGAAAAGAGUAAAAUCAUGACUCCUCUACAAAUAUAAAAUGCACACACAUCAAAGACUUUAAUUCAUUAAUGAAUGAGGAGACCAGUAAAGCUAGCCCUGUCCAGAGGAAAACACAAAGUGUACACACAUAUAUAGGCAAUCAGGAAUGCUGAAACGAACAUGUUAAUAAAUGCACAACUGGCCGGGUGCAGUGGCUCAUGCCUGUAAUCCCAGCACUGUGGGAGGCUGAGGCGGGCAGAUCACUUGAAGUUAGGAGUUCAAGACCAGCCUGGCCAACAUCUUGAAACCUCAUCUCUACUAAAAAUACAAAAAAUUAGCCGGGCGUGAUAGUGCACGCCUACAAAUCCCAGCUACUCGGGAGGCUGCGGCAGAAGAAUCUCUGGAACCUGGGAAGCAGAGGUUGCAGUGAACUGAGAUCACACCACUGCACUCCAGCCUGGACCACAGAGCAAAACUCUGUCUUAAAAAUUAUAUUUUUAAUAAAAAUAAAUAAUAAAUGCAGAACUGGCCUCGGGGUGCUGGGAGAGCAAUUGCACUUCUACCAGGCAUCUCUAUGGACAAGAAUCAUUGGCAUUCCUAUGAAUUUUCUACAACUUACCAAGUUGGAAAAUAGCUGCAAGAUUUUAUAAGGCAAAAAUCACUAAAAAAUCAGGUAAUCCAGAAAGGUGCUUUAGAUAAGGCCUAGCAUGCCACAGGACACCCAAUAAUUUUUGGAGUUUUUGCCAUUUUAACUUUUUUAGUUUUUCCAGACAUUCCCAAGGUGGCACCUUCCAUAGUUGUACAGUUUCAACUGUGUUAAAAUUUCUUUGUCGGGGACUGUUGUGGGGUGGGGGAACGGGGAGGGAUAGCAUUAGGAGAUAUACCUAAUGCUAAGUGACGAGUUAAUGGGUGCAGCACACCAACAUGGCACAUGUAUACAUAUGUAACAAACCUGCAC